GCGCUUCCUGCGGGCUGCGCUCGGCCCGGCUGCCCGUCAGCGCGCAGAUUAAGGCUGACAGCGCCCUGCCCGGCGCGGCUCGCGCGGCUC
Molecule: microRNA precursor, 90 nt
Filed under: Otolemur garnettii (small-eared galago)
Lineage: Eukaryota; Metazoa; Chordata; Mammalia; Primates; Galagidae
Description: miRNA (ENSOGAG00000034786.1)
Source: RNAcentral